UUUGCUGUUCUCUGAGUUAUC
RNAcentral lists this non-coding RNA (21 nucleotides) under Caenorhabditis elegans. The record is from RNAcentral. Lineage: Eukaryota; Metazoa; Nematoda; Chromadorea; Rhabditida; Rhabditidae.